This is a non-coding RNA of Paramuricea clavata, 251 nucleotides long. The record is from the annotation of a GenBank genome assembly. NCBI's taxonomy places the organism in Eukaryota, Metazoa, Cnidaria, Anthozoa, Malacalcyonacea, Plexauridae.
GUCAACGGCUGUUCCAAUGUACAUGUUUAUGUUGAAAUCAGUUAAAUAAAUGGUGUUGUGUUGGAGUUUACUACAGUUGUACGGCUCUCUAUUUUUUAUCUGUAGGUUUUAUGGUACGACGGGGUCGUGCGGGGCAGGUAUUUAUAUUGCACCCCCUUUUUUCAUGCACAAAAAUAUCUAACCUCCCCUCUUUUUCCACCAGCCCCCCACCCCCCUCCCCUGUAAUUAAUGACCGGUCCCUAUAAUUUGCA